Molecule: ribosomal RNA, 253 nt
Filed under: uncultured bacterium
Lineage: Bacteria
Description: partial 16S ribosomal RNA
Rfam family: Bacterial small subunit ribosomal RNA
Source: RNAcentral
UACGAAGGGUGCAAGCGUUAAUCGGAAUUACUGGGCGUAAAGCGUGCGUAGGUGGUUUGUUAAGUCUGCUGUGAAAGCCCUGGGCUCAACCUGGGAAUGGCGGUGGAUACUGGCAAGCUAGAGUACGGUAGAGGAUGGUGGAAUUCCCGGUGUAGCGGUGAAAUGCGCAGAUAUCGGGAGGAACACCAAUGGCGAAGGCAGCUCGCUGGGACGUUACUGACGCUGAGACGCGAAAGCGUGGGGAGCAAACAGG